UCAGCACGACUCGCAAACCACGUUCGCAUCCAUGCCCGCCUGAACCUCACCGACGUGGCCUCCAUGCGGUAAAAGCUUCGUAUAUCUACUGCUCCUGCCCUCAUCCGUUUUACCUUGUCGUCUUUUCACCGAGUGAACGGACACUCGUGUGAGCCUGUGCCAUCUCCGGUCGUCCCUCGCGUUGCCGUUUCCUCCUCAUGAACCAGCCACCAACCACCUCUCUAGCUCCACCGCAACGCCCUGCAACCGCUAGUAGUCCGGUUCGUCGCUGCCAAGCCCGGGAAUCGUCGUUGUUUUUCGUCCGUUCACCGUCAUCUCGGUGCUCACGGUGAGCUCUCCAUGUCGCUGUUCUACCUUCGAUUGGUGAGACGUGGGCGCAUCACGGGUUCAUAGGGAAGCCAUAGGUUGCGUCACCCCCCGUUGUUAAGCCGUCACCGUGUGCAGCCAUGGCCGGCUGGUGUCCAAGCCGCCGCCGCCCGUGGAGGGGCCGGCCCAGACCGCCUCCAGGGGAGCCGCUGCCACCCUUGGGUGCGCCGCGACCUGGGGUUGCUCCCCAGCUCGGCCAUGCCGCCGGGGAGGCACCAUCGGCGAGGCCCCGCCCCUGCAGUCGCGCCCUGCCUUGGGCGUAGGGAGGAAGAAGCCCUUGGCGCUGGGGCCCACGAGCUAGGGAAAGUAAAGGAGAGGGAGAGAGGGGCCAGUCCAAGGGGCCCAGGUGCUAGAGAGAGGGGGUAGAAAGGAGUUUGGUGAGAAAAGUUGGACCGGGAGUUUUGGAUAAUCAUAGAUUUUUCCUUUUGCAGAUAAAUAGUUUAAAUUCGUUUAUCACCAUUAAUUCAUUAGAAAUUGUAGAAAUGUCCAAAAAUAGUGAAACCAAUUUUAUUAGGAUUGUUUUAUUUUCUUUUAUGCAUUAAAAGUUUUAAACCCUAGGAAAAAUAUAAAAUUAGGUAUUUAUUUAAUGCCUUUUAAGGUAUUUAAAUAAAUGCUUAACCUUUAUUAAAUGCAUAAAAUUCUGAAUAAUGCUUUCUUAUUCACAAAUUAUUAUUAAAUCAUAGGGAUUAAGUUUUGAGAUUAGAAAAUAUUUAUAAUGCUUUUCUAAAAUAAAAAGAAAAGGGCUUAAAGUAGGUUAGUAAAGAAAUUAAAAAUUGUGGGUUAAUCUUUAUGGGUAGCAUAGUGUUGGCUUGCAACUUUAUCUUAGAGGAAAGUUGUAUAGUUGUGUGUUUAAAAGUUUGCAUAUCUAACCCUGCAUGUACUUAAUCGUAGACACUGAAGCUCCAGAAGCGGAAUUCUUGGAAUUCUCUGAAGAACCUUCGGAGUUUGAGGAGAUUGUUGAGUUGAUCCCCUGUGAAGCAGGACCGUCAGAAGACACUAACCUUUUUACGGAUCAAGGCAAGCCCCGGUGCAUCUAUGCCUAUCUAUUUUGGAGUUAUUAUUUCAUGUGUCCAAUUAUUGGUUAUUUUCUUUACGAAUGCAUUAAGUCUAGGAUUUGAUUGAAACCUACUCAUGUGCAUGAUCCUACCUUGUUUAGAGGACAUCUUUGCCACUUGUUCACUAAUUAGUAACUACCUAUGCUUAGCAAUGCUUAGAAACCUUCAAGCAACUCGGUUGCUUAACUCUAAGGUUAAGUUGGUCAUACAUGUUAAUCAAGGAAAUGGCCUGAGAUUUUGGAAAUGUGGACAGAAGUUAGAGAUGGUAGUUCUAUCUACUAAAGUUAAUUGGUUAAGGUUCGAUCGUUGUCUUAACCUUUGAUCAAGUGAUUUUUACCUGGUUGCUUACUGGGUAUGGACUAGUAAAGCUUGGUAGGUUAGUUGGCUCUCUGAUCGGGAAUAUUUUGUACCCGUGCUUGACGUGCUGGAGAAUGGCAGGGGCGUAGCCUGAAACUCACAUAGAGAUCAGGCCAGACGUGGGGUCCCAUGUGAGGGUGCGUCCCUGGGUUCGGGUAGUCAUAUUUCCAAUAUUUGGGUACAACUAAUCGAAAGGUUGUUGUGUACAACCCGUACAGUUGUACAUGGCUGGUGGUCGGGUAUCACCUGCAGGAUGUAAAUCAGUCCGGAUCACCACAAUUCUCGGUUAUGAAUGCACUUUGAUCACCAUUAAGCAUCGUAGUGUGAUCCAGUUGAAUACAAUAUUUUUUCUGAAAUUAGUAUGAUGUAUGACUUAGUUCCAAUGAGUGCUCAAAAAUAUUUUAUUCAUCUAGACUGGUUAGGUAACAAUUAAAUAGAAAUAAAAGAAUAAAGUUAAGGUUCCACUUAUAGUAAGCCUUUUCGCAAAAAUGUGAGUCAACCAGUACACUAAACAACUAUCAUUCAGUUUUGGAAAAACUAUCUAUAUUGGUUAGUCGGGUCAGUCUUGCUGAGUACCCUCGUACUCAGGGGAUCCUUCAUUGUUGUUUCAGAAACUCAAUAGGAGCCCGCUGAGGGAGAAGCCCCGAAGAACUAGGGUAUUUAUGAGUCUCACAAUACCCUAGAAUAAAACUCAGCUGUUUAAUUAUUACCUGGACUAGUUUAUGUUAUAAACUCUUAGAACUGCUCUAGCAUUGUUAAGUUUGUUUCAAACUAUGGUUUGUAAUAAUUCGCACCUUGAUAUGUAUGUAAAAAUGUAAUAUUUGUUGAGACAUUCCCAUCGUGGAAGUGAUCCUAAUGUAUGGCUAUGGAUCACAUCGUGGAUGUUUCGAGGAAUCCUAGAGGCACUCGACGGACUACCAGACUUAUACUGUUUUAAGUGCGUUUCGGAUAAUUGUUGUUCUGACAGCGAUUAAACGCACUUAAGCCAGUUUAAGUUGGGCGGUUCCGCCACAGCUCCCCCCCUCCGAAACCCAAAACCUAACCACCACCGCCUCG
This 2834-nucleotide long non-coding RNA is filed under the name Setaria italica (foxtail millet). RNAcentral's name for it is "long non-coding RNA (SITA_LNC000619)". Lineage: Eukaryota; Viridiplantae; Streptophyta; Magnoliopsida; Poales; Poaceae. The record is from RNAcentral.